UAGAAAUAUGUCCUAUGGGAACUCAGUGUUAUAGUGCUCUGGUUCAUAACAGGUACCAUACAGGUACAGUAUUUGAAAGGACACAUCCUGCAGGCACUAAAGUAAAAAUUCAGUGGUAAUAGAUUAUGCAGAUAAGUGAGCAUAGAAAUAUUUGGCAGAAUUAGUUUAUUCUUACAAGGUAUAGAUGAAAAAACAAGCACAGAAACUUAAGUGCAAUACACCAGUAUUUCUUUACAUGUGCUAAAUGUCUGUAUGUAUUCUUGUUAUUUAUUUUAUACAGAUUGAAUUGUUACUACCACUUCUAAAGAAUAAAACACUAGAAGUAGAAGUAGAAUCCAGGCUGAAUUUGUUGGGGGUAUUCGCUGGAUGUGUGAGCCAACUAGCCACUAUUAUGACUUGAAGAUACACAUCUGGAAUUUUACCAAUCAACUGUCAAAAAUUGGUCUAGAUUAUUAUCAAUGCUACCAUUUUCAAAACGUAUGCAAGUUUGUGAAUUGUUGUUAACCAGGCACACCAUUGUGUAGCCAAAUCAUUCAGUGCAAAUUUAUAGUAAUAUCUUGAGUUUUCACUGACUGCUAGAAAUUACACUGUGGAGUUAUUAUACCCCUGCCAAAAAAAGUUGGAAGAUUUGUUGGUAUUAAUCACAUUCAGUGAUAUUUCUAGUUUGUACUGCAUCAAAAUGUGUAAGUUCUCACUACAGUCUUGCCAGUUGCCAUGUUUUAAACUUUGGUUUGAUAUGUAUUUUUCAUAUGCCAAAAUAACAAGAUGGGCAUUCUAAGCCCACUGUGAUUUUUAUCCCAUUCAACUUUCGUUGCUUGAUUCUGAUGUCGUAUUUGAAUUGGAGAUGAUGCUUCUGUUAUAGUGUACAGGACUUGAUACAGCAGCAAAGUAUCUGACUUGUUCCAGUACCGUAUUCAUUGUUUGGUGCACAUCAUUUUUCAUGUGAAAGAGUAACAUGUACAUGUAGAGCAUUCCAAGUGAAUUGUGAUUGUCAUCUCAUUCAUUUGUUUGUGUUUGAUUUUUAUGACGUAUUGAAACUGAAAUGAUGUUUCUCCAACUACACUUUACAGAACACAAAUCUGCAUGAUGGUGUAUUCAGCUCUCAUUCAAAUCUUGCCAUGUUUUAUUGUUUGAUAGAUGAUUUUAACAUGCCAAAGUUACAAGUGUAGUUUUACAUCUCUUUCAUUUUUGUACCUGAUUACAUUGUAGUGUUUGACAAUGAUAUUAUAUAUAUUUAUUUGGUAUGGCAAACUCUAAUGUGUAUUAAAGUUGCAUUCAGGUGUUAAACCUCUGUUGAGCAAAGUUAUUUGUGUAAGUUCACAUCCCAGUCUUGCCAUGUUUUUAUAUAAUUGUUUGAUGCAAAUUUUGUCAUAUGAAAGAUAGUAACAUGUACAUGUAGAGCAUUCCAAGUGAAUUGUGAUUGUCAUCUCAUUCAUUUGUGCUUAAUUUUAAUGACGUAUUGAAACUGACAUGAUGUUUCUCCAACUACACUUUACAGAACACAAAUCUGCAUCAGGGUGUAUUCAGCUCUCAUUCCAUUCUUGCCUUGUUUUAGAAUAUUGUUUGAAACACUCAUUUCAUAUGCAGAAGUAUACUAAUGGGCAUUCCAAGUUAUGUGAUAGAACAGUAGUGAUUCUGAAAUCAUCUUCAAAGAUCAUGGUAACAGCAUGUGUUCGAAAUUGAGGUAAUUUAAAUGGCCUUUACAAAUAAGUAAACAUGUUUAUUUUAUAUCAUGUAAUACAGUGUAGACACAAUACUUGCAUAUCAAAUACCAAGGAUACCUCAUUCCACAUGUAUAUAUGGUUGAUUUUCAAAUUGGACUUCAUUUCUACCAAUUUAGUCAAACUUUCUUUUUUAGUAAUUUUUAAGCCAUUUUGAACCAAAUAUUUUCCAAACAGCUUCGUUAACAUUAUAAAAUGAUUAAUACGCAUCAGUUUGCAUGGUUGUUUCCCAAUUAAAUCAUCUUCUUUUUUUUCUUGCUAAAAUGCCUUCUUACCCACUUCUGAACAUCCCAUUUAAAUGUAACUUUAUUGUCAUCGUUCAAACUUAGAUAAUGUGUAUCUGUAACUACACUUUACAGUACUCAAUGCUGCACCAAAGUGUCUUUCUCAUUCUAGUCUUGCCAUGUUAUGUUGUAAGGUGCAUUAUUUUUUACAUGCCAAAGAGACAUUUCAUGCAUUUAUAGUUGGUGACUGCGAUUUUCUACUCAUUUGUAUUAUUUGUGUGUAUGUAUAUGUCUGCUUGGACUAGGACAGCUAGAGACAGAAGAGAAUGGAAAUGUUAUGAGGAGGGCUUUGUCCAAUGUCUGGAUGAACUAUAGCCUGAUAGAAAUAGAAAUAGAAAUAUGUCUGCUUGAUUUUCAUGUAGUAUUCAAUCAAGAAUGUUUUUUUAUUUACUACACUUUACAGUUAGUCAAUGCUGCAUCAGGAUAACUAAGUUGACAUUCCACUCAUGCUAUGUUUUUUUAAAUAUUUGUUACAGUUUUAUACCAGUUGCUGAGUACUGUUUUAUACCAUUUACUGUUUUAUACUGGUUGAAGCAGUAUUUUCUCAUGCCAAAAUAACAUUUCAGCAUUCCAAGUUAAGUGUGAAUUUCAUCUCUUUCCUUUUUAUUCUUAAUUGUGAUAAAAUAUUUGUACUUUAUAAGACUGACGUUGAUAAAUGUUAACAUGAUAUUUGUAUGUAGUAAAGUUGCAUUCAGGUUCAUUUGGGGGCCUUGAAUGCUUUAGUUCAUCAUUCCAAA
Molecule: long non-coding RNA, 2742 nt
Organism: Strongylocentrotus purpuratus (purple sea urchin)
Lineage: Eukaryota; Metazoa; Echinodermata; Echinoidea; Camarodonta; Strongylocentrotidae
Exons: 2
Source: RefSeq, a predicted model, not a curated record